UUAAGCGACUAAGCGUACACGGUGGAUGCCCUGGCAGUCAGAGGCGAUGAAGGACGUGCUAAUCUGCGAUAAGCGUCGGUAAGGUGAUAUGAACCGUUAUAACCGGCGAUUUCCGAAUGGGGAAACCCAGUGUGUUUCGACACACUAUCAUUAACUGAAUCCAUAGGUUAAUGAGGCGAACCGGGGGAACUGAAACAUCUAAGUACCCCGAGGAAAAGAAAUCAACCGAGAUUCCCCCAGUAGCGGCGAGCGAACGGGGAGCAGCCCAGAGCCUGAAUCAGUGUGUGUGUUAGUGGAAGCGUCUGGAAAGGCGCGCGAUACAGGGUGACAGCCCCGUACACAAAAAUGCACAUGCUGUGAGCUCGAUGAGUAGGGCGGGACACGUGGUAUCCUGUCUGAAUAUGGGGGGACCAUCCUCCAAGGCUAAAUACUCCUGACUGACCGAUAGUGAACCAGUACCGUGAGGGAAAGGCGAAAAGAACCCCGGCGAGGGGAGUGAAAAAGAACCUGAAACCGUGUACGUACAAGCAGUGGGAGCACGCUUAGGCGUGUGACUGCGUACCUUUUGUAUAAUGGGUCAGCGACUUAUAUUCUGUAGCAAGGUUAACCGAAUAGGGGAGCCGAAGGGAAACCGAGUCUUAACUGGGCGUUAAGUUGCAGGGUAUAGACCCGAAACCCGGUGAUCUAGCCAUGGGCAGGUUGAAGGUUGGGUAACACUAACUGGAGGACCGAACCGACUAAUGUUGAAAAAUUAGCGGAUGACUUGUGGCUGGGGGUGAAAGGCCAAUCAAACCGGGAGAUAGCUGGUUCUCCCCGAAAGCUAUUUAGGUAGCGCCUCGUGAAUUCAUCUCCGGGGGUAGAGCACUGUUUCGGCAAGGGGGUCAUCCCGACUUACCAACCCGAUGCAAACUGCGAAUACCGGAGAAUGUUAUCAUGGGAGACACACGGCGGGUGCUAACGUCCGUCGUGAAGAGGGAAACAACCCAGACCGCCAGCUAAGGUCCCAAAGUCAUGGUUAAGUGGGAAACGAUGUGGGAAGGCCCAGACAGCCAGGAUGUUGGCUUAGAAGCAGCCAUCAUUUAAAGAAAGCGUAAUAGCUCACUGGUCGAGUCGGCCUGCGCGGAAGAUGUAACGGGGCUAAACCAUGCACCGAAGCUGCGGCAGCGACGCUUAUGCGUUGUUGGGUAGGGGAGCGUUCUGUAAGCCUGCGAAGGUGUGCUGUGAGGCAUGCUGGAGGUAUCAGAAGUGCGAAUGCUGACAUAAGUAACGAUAAAGCGGGUGAAAAGCCCGCUCGCCGGAAGACCAAGGGUUCCUGUCCAACGUUAAUCGGGGCAGGGUGAGUCGACCCCUAAGGCGAGGCCGAAAGGCGUAGUCGAUGGGAAACAGGUUAAUAUUCCUGUACUUGGUGUUACUGCGAAGGGGGGACGGAGAAGGCUAUGUUGGCCGGGCGACGGUUGUCCCGGUUUAAGCGUGUAGGCUGGUUUUCCAGGCAAAUCCGGAAAAUCAAGGCUGAGGCGUGAUGACGAGGCACUACGGUGCUGAAGCAACAAAUGCCCUGCUUCCAGGAAAAGCCUCUAAGCAUCAGGUAACAUCAAAUCGUACCCCAAACCGACACAGGUGGUCAGGUAGAGAAUACCAAGGCGCUUGAGAGAACUCGGGUGAAGGAACUAGGCAAAAUGGUGCCGUAACUUCGGGAGAAGGCACGCUGAUAUGUAGGUGAAGUCCCUUGCGGAUGGAGCUGAAAUCAGUCGAAGAUACCAGCUGGCUGCAACUGUUUAUUAAAAACACAGCACUGUGCAAACACGAAAGUGGACGUAUACGGUGUGACGCCUGCCCGGUGCCGGAAGGUUAAUUGAUGGGGUCAGCGCAAGCGAAGCUCUUGAUCGAAGCCCCGGUAAACGGCGGCCGUAACUAUAACGGUCCUAAGGUAGCGAAAUUCCUUGUCGGGUAAGUUCCGACCUGCACGAAUGGCGUAAUGAUGGCCAGGCUGUCUCCACCCGAGACUCAGUGAAAUUGAACUCGCUGUGAAGAUGCAGUGUACCCGCGGCAAGACGGAAAGACCCCGUGAACCUUUACUAUAGCUUGACACUGAACAUUGAGCCUUGAUGUGUAGGAUAGGUGGGAGGCUUGGAAGUGUGGACGCCAGUCUGCAUGGAGCCGACCUUGAAAUACCACCCUUUAAUGUUUGAUGUUCUAACGUUGACCCGUAAUCCGGGUUGCGGACAGUGUCUGGUGGGUAGUUUGACUGGGGCGGUCUCCUCCUAAAGAGUAACGGAGGAGCACGAAGGUUGGCUAAUCCUGGUCGGACAUCAGGAGGUUAGUGCAAUGGCAUAAGCCAGCUUGACUGCGAGCGUGACGGCGCGAGCAGGUGCGAAAGCAGGUCAUAGUGAUCCGGUGGUUCUGAAUGGAAGGGCCAUCGCUCAACGGAUAAAAGGUACUCCGGGGAUAACAGGCUGAUACCGCCCAAGAGUUCAUAUCGACGGCGGUGUUUGGCACCUCGAUGUCGGCUCAUCACAUCCUGGGGCUGAAGUAGGUCCCAAGGGUAUGGCUGUUCGCCAUUUAAAGUGGUACGCGAGCUGGGUUUAGAACGUCGUGAGACAGUUCGGUCCCUAUCUGCCGUGGGCGCUGGAGAACUGAGGGGGGCUGCUCCUAGUACGAGAGGACCGGAGUGGACGCAUCACUGGUGUUCGGGUUGUCAUGCCAAUGGCACUGCCCGGUAGCUAAAUGCGGAAGAGAUAAGUGCUGAAAGCAUCUAAGCACGAAACUUGCCCCGAGAUGAGUUCUCCCUGACUCCUUGAGAGUCCUGAAGGAACGUUGAAGACGACGACGUUGAUAGGCCGGGUGUGUAAGCGCAGCGAUGCGUUGAGCUAACCGGUACUAAUGAACCGUGAGGCUUAACCUU
RNAcentral lists this ribosomal RNA (2902 nucleotides) under Escherichia coli. Its description in RNAcentral is "bacterial LSU rRNA". It matches the Rfam family "Bacterial large subunit ribosomal RNA". The record is from RNAcentral. Lineage: Bacteria; Pseudomonadati; Pseudomonadota; Gammaproteobacteria; Enterobacterales; Enterobacteriaceae.